GUGGGUUGCUUGUUGCGCCGUUUCUGCUGGAGAGGAUCGACGAGGAGAUGCCGGGGAAGAUUUGCUUCGUCUCCAGGUCAAGGGAGAGAUGGAAGGCAACCAUGUCUAAAUUUGUUGUGUUUUAUUGAAUUUUCUUCGUGGGAUUCAGUUGCAGCGAGCAAGAAAAGGAUCUCUGCGAGGCGGAUCAUAUUAAGUGUUGUAAGAUCGAGACCAUACUGAUGAAAUGGUGAUUGUAGGAGAAAUACUCGAAUUGGCUCCUGAAGAGAAUGAAGGAGGAGGGGUGUGAGUGGUAUAUAGCAGAACUUUUGCUCCACUCUGGUUUGAUCGUCUAAGCCGGCCGGAGGAUGGCCAGGAGGUGCCCGCCUGCUUCCUAGAAUCCGCGAGGAAGCUGGAGCUUCCGGUUCACUUUUGCUACAGACGGAUGGAGAUGAGGCUGACCUUCUCGGGAAGACCGGCGCUAACUAGAGCAACGUUGGCAUGUGCCGGCACCUCCACCGUAGUUCAACAAACGUCUCUGGACCUGGUCGCCUCCCAGUCUUUUCCUCGGGUCAGCAUGAUUCCUUGC
Lolium perenne is the source of this 565-nucleotide non-coding RNA. Lineage: Eukaryota; Viridiplantae; Streptophyta; Magnoliopsida; Poales; Poaceae. The record is from RefSeq and is a predicted model, not a curated record.